UGCCAGACUCCUACGGGAGGCAGCAGUGAGGAAUAUUGGUCAAUGGCCGGAAGGCUGAACCAGCCAAGCCGCGUGAGGGAGGAAGGCGCAGAGCGUCGCAGACCUCUUUUGCCGGGGGACAAAAGGCCGGACUCGUCCGGUCCUGAGGGUACCCGGAGAAAAAGCAUCGGCUAACUCCGUGCCAGCAGCCGCGGUAAUACGGAGGAUGCGAGCGUUAUCCGGAUUUAUUGGGUUUAAAGGGUGCGUAGGCGGACAGUCAAGUCAGCGGUAAAAAUGCGGUGCUCAACGCCGUACAGCCGUUGAAACUGGCAGUCUUGAGUGGGCGAGAAGUAUGCGGAAUGCGUGGUGUAGCGGUGAAAUGCAUAGAUAUCACGCAGAACUCCGAUUGCGAAGGCAGCAUACCGGCGCCCGACUGACGCUGAGGCACGAAAGCGUGGGUAUCGAACAGGAUUAGAUACCCUAGUAC
RNAcentral lists this ribosomal RNA (466 nucleotides) under uncultured bacterium. RNAcentral's name for it is "bacterial SSU rRNA". It matches the Rfam family "Bacterial small subunit ribosomal RNA", at positions 329 to 793 of the family's 1533-position model. The record is from RNAcentral.